RNAcentral lists this ribosomal RNA (498 nucleotides) under uncultured bacterium. RNAcentral describes it as "partial 16S ribosomal RNA". It matches the Rfam family "Bacterial small subunit ribosomal RNA", at positions 28 to 507 of the family's 1533-position model. The record is from RNAcentral.
GACGAACGCUGGCGGCGUGCCUAAUACAUGCAAGUCGAACGAGAGCGACCGGUGCUUGCACUGGUCAAUCUAGUGGCGAACGGGUGAGUAACACGUGGGUAACCUGCCCAUCAGAGGGGGAUAACAUCCGGAAACGGAUGCUAAAACCGCAUAGGUCUUCGAACCGCAUGGUUUGAAGAGGAAAAGAGGCGCAAGCUUCUGCUGAUGGAUGGACCCGCGGUGCAUUAGCUAGUUGGUGAGGUAACGGCUCACCAAGGCCGUGAUGCAUAGCCGACCUGAGAGGGUGAUCGGCCACAUUGGGACUGAGACACGGCCCAAACUCCUACGGGAGGCAGCAGUAGGGAAUCUUCCGCAAUGGACGCAAGUCUGACGGAGCAACGCCGCGUGAGUGAAGAAGGUUUUCGGAUCGUAAAACUCUGUUGUUAGAGAAGAACAAGAGCUAGAGUAACUGUUAGCGCCUUGACGGUAUCUAACCAGAAAGCCACGGCUAACUACGUG